Molecule: non-coding RNA, 74 nt
Organism: Podarcis lilfordi (Lilford's wall lizard)
Lineage: Eukaryota; Metazoa; Chordata; Lepidosauria; Squamata; Lacertidae
Source: the annotation of a GenBank genome assembly
GCUGGGAUAGCUCAGUUUGGAAAAGCAUGAGACUCUUAAUCUCAGAGACAUGAGUUGGAGUCCCACGUUGGGCA